This 809-nucleotide ribosomal RNA is filed under the name uncultured bacterium. Its description in RNAcentral is "bacterial SSU rRNA". It matches the Rfam family "Bacterial small subunit ribosomal RNA", at positions 682 to 1501 of the family's 1533-position model. The record is from RNAcentral.
UGAAAUGCAUAGAUAUCACGAGGAACUCCGAUUGCGCAGGCAGCUUACCAAGCCGUAACUGACGCUCAAGCACGAAGGCGUGGGGAUCAAACAGGAUUAGAUACCCUGGUAGUCCACGCAGUAAACGAUGAUUACUGGCUGUUUGCGAUAUAAUGUAAGCGGCUGAGCGAAAGCGUUAAGUAAUCCACCUGGGGAGUACGUUCGCAAGAAUGAAACUCAAAGGAAUUGACGGGGGCCCGCACAAGCGGAGGAACAUGUGGUUUAAUUCGAUGAUACGCGAGGAACCUUACCCGGGCUUGAAAUGCAUCUGGCGUCCCGAGAGAUCGGGAUUUCCCACGGGACAGAUGCGUAGGUGCUGCAUGGUUGUCGUCAGCUCGUGCCGUGAGGUGUCGGCUUAAGUGCCAUAACGAGCGCAACCCCUACCGUUAGUUGCCAUCAGGUCAAGCUGGGGACUCUAACGGGACUGCCAUCGUAAGGUGCGAGGAAGGUGGGGAUGACGUCAAAUCAGCACGGCCCUUACGUCCGGGGCGACACACGUGUUACAAUGGGUGGUACAAAGGGCAGCUACAUGGCGACAUGGUGCCAAUCUCCAAAACCACUCUCAGUUCGGAUCGGAGUCUGCAACUCGACUCCGUGAAGCUGGAUUCGCUAGUAAUCGCGCAUCAGCCACGGCGCGGUGAAUACGUUCCCGGGCCUUGUACACACCGCCCGUCAAGCCAUGGAAGCUGGGGGCGCCUGAAGUCCGUAACCGUCAAAGGAGCGGCCUAGGGUAAAACCGGUGACUGGGGCUAAGUCGUAACAAGGUAACC